AACCUUUACUAUAGCUUGACACUGAACAUUGAGCCUUGAUGUGUAGGAUAGGUGGGAGGCUUUGAAGUGUGGACGCCAGUCUGCAUGGAGCCGACCUUGAAAUACCACCCUUUAAUGUUUGAUGUUCUAACGUGGAUCCGUAAUCCGGGUUGCGGACAGUGUCUGGUGGGUAGUUUGACUGGGGCGGUCUCCUCCUAAAGAGUAACGGAGGAGCACGAAGGUUGGCUAAUCCUGGUCGGACAUCAGGAGGUUAGUGCAAUGGCAUAAGCCAGCUUGACUGCGAGCGUGACGGCGCGAGCAGGUGCGAAAGCAGGUCAUAGUGAUCCGGUGGUUCUGAAUGGAAGGGCCAUCGCUCAACGGAUAAAAGGUACUCCGGGGAUAACAGGCUGAUACCGCCCAAGAGUUCAUAUCGACGGCGGUGUUUGGCACCUCGAUGUCGGCUCAUCACAUCCUGGGGCUGAAGUAGGUCCCAAGGGUAUGGCUGUUCGCCAUUUAAAGUGGUACGCGAGCUGGGUUUAGAACGUCGUGAGACAGUUCGGUCCCUAUCUGCCGUGGGCGCUGGAGAACUGAGGGGGGCUGCUCCUAGUACGAGAGGACCGGAGUGGACGCAUCACUGGUGUUCGGGUUGUCAUGCCAAUGGCACUGCCCGGUAGCUAAAUGCGGAAGAGAUAAGUGCUGAAAGCAUCUAAGCACGAAACUUGCCCCGA
RNAcentral lists this ribosomal RNA (707 nucleotides) under Salmonella enterica. Its description in RNAcentral is "partial 23S ribosomal RNA". It matches the Rfam family "Bacterial large subunit ribosomal RNA", at positions 2096 to 2802 of the family's 2925-position model. Lineage: Bacteria; Pseudomonadati; Pseudomonadota; Gammaproteobacteria; Enterobacterales; Enterobacteriaceae. The record is from RNAcentral.